CAGCAGCCGCGGUAAUACGUAGGUGGCAAGCGUUGUCCGGAAUUAUUGGGCGUAAAGGGCUCGCAGGCGGUUUCUUAAGUUUGAUGUGAAAGCCCCCGGCUCAACCGGGGAGGGUCAUUGGAAACUGGGAAACUUGAGUGCAGAAGAGGAGAGUGGAAUUCCACGUGUAGCGGUGAAAUGCGUAGAGAUGUGGAGGAACACCAGUGGCGAAGGCGACUCUCUGGUCUUUAACUGACGCUGAGGCGCGAAAGCGUGGGGAGCAAACAGGAUUAGAUACCCCUGUAGUCCCUGUCUCUUAUAC
RNAcentral lists this ribosomal RNA (301 nucleotides) under uncultured bacterium. Its description in RNAcentral is "partial 16S ribosomal RNA". It matches the Rfam family "Bacterial small subunit ribosomal RNA", at positions 509 to 807 of the family's 1533-position model. The record is from RNAcentral.